Molecule: long non-coding RNA, 694 nt
Organism: Melitaea cinxia (Glanville fritillary)
Lineage: Eukaryota; Metazoa; Arthropoda; Insecta; Lepidoptera; Nymphalidae
Exons: 3
Source: RefSeq, a predicted model, not a curated record
CAAUAGCCUGAGCUAUCAUGACGUCCAUCACUACGUCGCCAUCUACUGCCUGGCGGCCGCAGGGCUGGCGGUUGCGGGCGGCGCGUGGGUGCGCGCGACCUGCAGACGCGCUCGAGCCGCGCGCCCGCCUCCGAGCAGUGAUCAGCAGGACACUACUGUACAUUGUGUGUGUUCCAAAAAUUUUAAGUGUAUAAGUGUGAGUGAAAAAGCAGAGCAAAGUGAUUACAGUGUCAGUGUUCUCGGUCAAGACAUUCCAAAUCAGACUAAUCGAUCGGUUCAUAAAAACACUUCGCCUGUUUUAUUAAAAUGUAAUUUUAGACGUACUCGCUAACUAAAAAUUGUCGGGUCCAUUUGUAAAUUAGCCUUUAAGAUUUUAUGUCGGUUUCAUCCUUGUUUUAGUUUAGCUCACAUCAUCCAUACCUCACUCAUCUUCUCGCCCGGGAGCAUGUACGGUUCAGCCGCACAUACAUAUCGCCCGAUCAGCAGUUUACGUUAGUUGCACGAUUCAUUAGCUAAAUACAUCAGUUCACGUUCACAUAUCAUCAUCGUACAGCGCGUUCGUGAGCUCAUUCAUAUCAAUUAAAUAUUAGCAAAUAUAUUUAUAUUUUAACAUUUAUUUUUAUAUCUUUUAUCUACCAUAAUCAGCAGCAGCAAUUCAGGUGUAACAUACAAUAUUAAACUGUUAUUAUUUUGC